This 321-nucleotide long non-coding RNA is filed under the name Populus tremula. RNAcentral describes it as "long non-coding RNA (PTRE_LNC000447)". The record is from RNAcentral. Lineage: Eukaryota; Viridiplantae; Streptophyta; Magnoliopsida; Malpighiales; Salicaceae.
UCUCUCAUUCGGUCCCUCUCUACAUCUACUUCUCUCUCUUUCCUCUGCUUCUUCUUCUUCGUCUUCCGUCUUCUGUAUCUGGUUCUACCUCGUUCUCGGCUUCGUCCCCUUUACUGUGUGAUUCUUGGUUUCGUGGCCUAUCUCCCCCUCUUUCCUUAUUCGUUCGCUGUCCCUCGGUUUGUUCUGUUAUUUUCUAGCUGGUUCUUAGCUCUGUUUUUCCCAGCCUCACCGUUUUCUUUUUUUGUUUUUCCUUCCGUUCAGCCUCUCUGGUUUUUUGCUUUUUUCCGGGGUUUCCUCUUUUGUUCUCUGUUUUCAUCCCCC